ACUCCUACGGGAGGCAGCAGUGGGGAAUAUUGGACAAUGGGCGCAAGCCUGAUCCAGCAAUGCCGCGUGAGUGAGACGGCCUUCGGGUUGUAAAGCCCUUUAGGCGGGGAAGAACGGCCGGGCGCGAAUAGCGCGUGGCUCUGACGUUACCCGCAGAAUAAGCACCGGCUAACUCCGUGCCAGCAGCCGCGGUAAU
This 196-nucleotide ribosomal RNA is filed under the name uncultured Gammaproteobacteria bacterium. Its description in RNAcentral is "partial 16S ribosomal RNA". It matches the Rfam family "Bacterial small subunit ribosomal RNA", at positions 335 to 524 of the family's 1533-position model. The record is from RNAcentral. Lineage: Bacteria; Pseudomonadati; Pseudomonadota; Gammaproteobacteria.